This 587-nucleotide ribosomal RNA is filed under the name Actinomyces graevenitzii. RNAcentral's name for it is "partial 23S ribosomal RNA". It matches the Rfam family "Bacterial large subunit ribosomal RNA", at positions 1 to 625 of the family's 2925-position model. The record is from RNAcentral. Lineage: Bacteria; Bacillati; Actinomycetota; Actinomycetes; Actinomycetales; Actinomycetaceae.
AUAGAGUCAAGUGAAUAAGUGCAUCAGGUGGAUGCCUUGGCGAUGAUAGGCGACGAAGGACGUGUAAGCCUGCGAAAAGCGCGGGGGAGCUGGCAAUAAAGCUAUGAUCCCGCGGUAUCCGAAUGGGGAAACCCACCUCUUAGGAGGUAUCCUUAUCUGAAUACAUAGGAUAAGCGAAGCGAACCCGGAGAACUGAACCAUCUAAGUACCCGGAGGAAAAGAAAUCAACCGAGAUUCCGCAAGUAGUGGCGAGCGAACGCGGAGGAGCCUGUACGUAAUAACUGUCGAGAUAGAAGAACAAGCUGGGAAGCUUGACCAUAGUGGGUGAUAGUCCCGUAUUCGAAAUCUCAAUAGUGGUACUAAGCGUACGAAAAGUAGGGCGGGACACGUGAAAUCCUGUGUGAAUCUGCGGGGCCCAUCCCGUAAGGCUAAAUACUCCCGAGAGACCGAUAGUGAACCAGUACCGUGAGGGAAAGGUGAAAAGAACCUCGAACAGAGGAGUGCAAUAGAUCCUGAACCCGUCUGCCUACAAGCGGUAGGAGCAGCUUCGAGCUGUGACUGCGUGCCUUUUGCAUAAUGAACCUACG